UGAUGAUGGAGGGGUUAUUUAUAGAAAUGGGGAAGUCACAGAGAGAAGGUGCCUUUGAGUCGGGGAGGGGACGGGAAGAAGAAGGAGGGAGUGGAUUUUUAUUUUGAACCUGGUGGUUGUCAGUGGUUUGCUGGACCUUCGGGGGGGCCAACAGUGAACAGCAGGGGCUCCCUGAUAAUCAACCCUAAAACCUUGUCUGGAACAUGUUCAGCUUCUUCCUUGCCCACCCUCCUCCCACCCCGCCAGGUGCUGAGCUCACCCUUUGUGAUUCUUGGCCUUACAUUCUGCACCUCCCAGUGGCACUGGAACCUUGGAUGCCCCGGGGAGCUGCAGGGCCCCAGUGACCAGCUGGUGCUGAGGGUCAGAGACUGCGACUGUGCAGGCCAUGUCUGCAGGUGCUCCCCUGUGCAAGGCCUCCAGGGGUGGGGGUGUCCCUCAGACCUUCAGGGAAGUUGCUGAUAAAGAAUUUCCUUAGAGGGGGUAAGUCCCCCUCCCAGACCCAGCAAGGCCUUCUCUCUGUUUCCCCGGAAAAACCUCUUCCAUCCUUCCGAAGCUCCAGGCCUUGUGGGUGUGACAGCGUGCCUGGAUCCAGAGGCAGCAGGGGAAGGGGGAGACAUUUUGGUUCAAGGGGCCAUGGCAAAGGCACUGCCUGGCAGAUGGAGGAGGGAGCUUCCUGCUGCUGGAGUGGCCGUCCUGGCUGAAAGCCCUUCUCCUUCAGUGGUCAGCUAACUACUCCUCCAUGAAGCCAUCCCUGAUUCCUACUCCAGCCCCCAAGGAAGAGCUGCAGGAAACAGAAAAUGCACUGCCUAGAUGGACCCUCUGACUCCCCACCACCCAGGCUGGAGCGGCAGAGGCUGCCAGGAAGAGCCAGAAAACAGGUGAACCCAAGGCCACUCCCUCCCCAGCCUGAGGUCACUGACCAGCUAAUACAGGCCAAGGCUGCUGGGAGGCCAGGAAUAUGGCCAUGAGGAGCACAGCACGAUGUUCCCUCUAUCACGUGUGCAUAUUCUAGUGGAGGAAGACUGACAGUAAGUAGGUAAAUAUAUGUACAUCAGGUGGUGGCAAGGGCUAUGGAAAAAAUGAGCAAGAGAGGGGCAUAGAAAGUGGUAGGAUGGAAGGGAGAUAGGGUGGGCAGGGAGGGCCAGAUAGAAUGCAGUUUGAGCCACUUAGAUCUCUGAAGGAAGGAAGAACAUUCCAGGGAUAGGGACCAGGAGGACACAGGUGCCAGGACAGGAGCAUACUGGGCAUUUUCAAGGACAGGAUGGAACCCAAUGUGGCUGGUGUGGAGUGAGAGGUGGGGAAGGGAUAGGAGCGGGAAUGUGGAGGGAAGAUGGCCUGGGGUCCUGUGGGCAUUAGCCGGGCUCACAGGGGAGCUCUUGGAGGGUUAUGAGCGAGAAGUGAGCUGCUCCGUGCAUUCCAAGGAUCCCUCUAGGAGACCUGAGAUACCUCCUUGCCCUGUUCUGCAGCUGCGCUGGCUGCAAGGUACAGAUUUGGCCCUCAGCUAAAUUGCAAGGAAGACAGAGGAAGAGAGAGGAAGGUUCCAUUCUCCUGUUUCUUGCCCAUUUCUCCUCAUCAGUGGAACCCUGCCUGUGCAUGGUCUUCUUUAUUUGCACACAGCUCCCUGCCCUCCCCAAUACCUUACCAAUGAUUUACGCUUUAGUAAAAUCAAGGCUAUGCAUUCCAUGACCCCUUCUCCAAAGUGAUGAAUUAUGUCUCCAGAAAAGAUAUGUUGAAGUCCUAACCCCCAACUACUGCAGAAUAUGACCUUAUUUGGAAAUACGGUCAUUGUAGAUGAAUUAGUUAAGAUGAAAUCACGCUGGAGUAGGAUGGGCCCUUAAUCCCAUAUGAAUGAUGUCCUUUUAAGAAGAUAAUGUGGGCCGGGUGUGGUGGCUCAUGCCUGUAAUCCCAGCACUUUGGGAGGCGGGUGGAUCACCUGAGGUCAGGAGUUCAAGACCAGCCUGGCCAACAUGAUGAAACCCCAUUUCCACUAAAAAUACAAAAAUUAUCUGAGCGUGGUGAUGGGCACCUGUAAUCCCAGCUACUCAGGAGGCUGAGGCAAGAGAAUCACUUGAACCCAGGAGGCAGAGGUUGCAGUGAGCUGAGAUGGCGCCACUGCACUCCAGUCUGGGUGACAGAGUGAAAAUCCCUCUCAAAAAAAAAAAAAAAAAAAAAAGCUGAUGUGAGAUACAAGGGAGGAAGGCCAUGUGAAUAUGGAGGUGGAGGUGGGAUUAGGCAGCUGCAUGCCAAGAACAAGGCCAAGGAUUGCUGGAAACCACUGUGAGCUGGAAGAGGCAGGGAAGGACUCUUCCCCAGAGCCUCCCGAGGGAGCGUGGCCCUGCUGACUCCUGGAUUUCAGGCUUCUGGCCUCCAGAAUAAUGAGAAAAUGAAUUUCUGUUGCUUUAAGCCACCUGGUUUGUGGUACUUUGUUAUGGCAGCCUUGGAAACGAGUCCCAGGGAUGUUUCUUAGGGUCUGAUUUCUAAUCAUAAAAUUUGAGAUUUUAUCCCAUUCAAAGAAAUAUCCGAAGUCUUAUUAGCCUACUAGUCAGCCUUUACCUGAGGACAAAAGUGCUUUGUUUUGGGGGAAUCCUGGGGCUGUAUGGGAAUUCCAAAGGGCACAUUUGGCUCAAUGGCCUGGAUGUCUUACCUUUGGGAAGCAGGGAGCUGGGAGGAGCCUAGCUGGACCCCUGCCGCUCUGCUGGAUGGGUUUGGCUCAGGGUGUGGAUAUUGGUUAGGUGUGGAUACAAAGGCUUGGUCCUUGCUGUGGCAGAGAAGGUUGAUAAAGGGGCCUGGGGAAAAUUAAAUUAGAUGCUGAACUUUGCCUUUUAUUCAUUUGCCUGAAGAUUAAGCUGUCCACAGGUUAAUCUGCAGGUCCGUUCACAGGCCAGGGACACAAAAUGAUCAAGACAGAGUCCCCUUCAAACAAACACCACACAUGUAUGUUCACUGUGGCAUCAUUCACAAUAGCAGAAGGUGCAGACAACCCAAAUGUCCCUCAGUGGAUGAAUGGAGAAACAAAACAUGGCACACCCACACAAUGGAAUGCUCUUCAGCCAUAGAUGGAAUGAAGUACUGCCCCACGCUACAGCAUGGACCAACCUCGAAGACAUCAUGCUGCGUGAAAGAAGUCAGCCAGAAAAGGCCAUAUACUGUAUGAUUCCUUUCAUGUAAUAUACCCAGAAUAGGCAAAGCCACAGAGACAGAAGGCAGAGUGGUGAUUGUCAGGGCUUGGAGGAGGGAGAAAUGGGGAGUGGCUGCUUAAUGGGUAUGGGUUUCCUUUAGGGUGGUGAAAGUGUUCUGGAACUAGGUAGUGGUGAUGGUUGUCUAACACUGGGAAUGUGCUAAAUGUCACUGAAUUGUGCAAUUGAAAGUGGUAAAUUUUAUGUAAUUUUACUACAAUUUUAAAAAAACAACAGAGUGAGAGAAGACAAUCAACAGAGAAAUAGAUAUUUAACAUAUACACUAUGAAGACCAAGAAGAUGGGCUAAGGAGGCAGAGAGUGAUGACGAGGGUGCUAUUUUAUGGGGUGGUCAAGGCUGGCCUUUCUGAGGAGGAUGUGUGGGGAGAGCCAGGCACAUGGCUGGGAGGAGACCCUUCCAGGAUGUGGAGGAGGAGCAGCAAAGGCCUGGGGCAGAAGUGAGAAGGAGUGCUGGGGAACCAGCAAGAGGCUACCGGGACUGCAGCUGCAGUGGGAGGGGGUGGUGAAGGGAUGGGGUGGGGGGGCAGCGGGCAGAAGAGGCCAAGUGCCUGCAACCACUGUCAGGGGUGGGAGCAGAGUAGUGGAGGGAGGGGCGAGUGUGGAAGCAGGAAUUCAGCCAGGAGGCCGUUGCAGACAGGGAUCUGUUUCUGAAGAUCCAUCAAGACCGGAGACUAAACACUUGCUUCUUGCUUUGGCUGUGCUGCUAUUAAUUAGAGCUCUGCAAACGGCCUCUCUCCUGUCCUCAAUUCCAGUGCUGCAGAGUCAUGAUUAAGCAGAUCUGUCACUAAGUGAGGAUUUUGUUGUGCUUUUUGAAUGCAGUGCCUAGGUAUGUUCAUUUAUUUUUCUUUCAAGUUUGUAUUGAACGACGUAUUAUAUCUCACAUGGUAUGUCUCCUGUGCCCCACUGCCUGGGGCUCCCUGUCCCUCUCCACUUGCUUUCUUUUUUCCCAUUGCACUUACUUAUCACUACCCAACACAUUGGACAUGCAUUUGGCAUGCUUGGUUUUAUGUGUCAAACUUGGCUAAGCUAUAAGAUCCAGUUAUUUUUUUUUAUUUUUUCAUUUUUAUUUUUGAGAUGGAGUCUCGCUUUGUGGCCCAGGCUAG
RNAcentral lists this long non-coding RNA (4299 nucleotides) under Homo sapiens (human). RNAcentral describes it as "HSALNT0018316". The record is from RNAcentral. Lineage: Eukaryota; Metazoa; Chordata; Mammalia; Primates; Hominidae.